AAGUUUAGGUUAAACAAACCAGGAGCCUUCAAAGCCCCAAACAAGAACAAACUAAAUAUCUUAACUUCU
This 69-nucleotide transfer RNA is filed under the name Cyrtodactylus jambangan. Its description in RNAcentral is "tRNA-Trp". Lineage: Eukaryota; Metazoa; Chordata; Lepidosauria; Squamata; Gekkonidae. The record is from RNAcentral.